AGUGAACGCUGGCGGCAGGCCUAACACAUGCAAGUCGAACGGCCGCACAGUAAGAUCUUUUUCUUACGGGUGGCGAGUGGCUGACGGGUGAGGAAUACAUCGGAAUCUACUUUUUCGUGGGGGAUAACGUAGGGAAACUUACGCUAAUACCGCAUACGACCUUCUGGUUAAUGCAGUGGAUCUUCGUACCUUGCGCGAUUUAAUCAGCUGCUGUCGAAUUAGCUAGUUGAUUGGGUAAAGGCCCACCAAGGCAACGACCCGUAGCUGGUCUGAUAGGAUGAUCGGCAACACUGGAACUGAGACACGGUCAAGACUCCUACGGGAGGCAGAAGUGGGGAAUAUUGGAAAAUGGGCGAAAGCCUGAUCAAGAAAGACCGCGUGGGUGAAGAAGGCCUUCGGGUGGUAAAGCCCUUUUGAUGGGAAAGAAAAGCGGCAGGUUAAAAAGUCGACGUUCUGACGGUACCCAAAGAGUAAGCAACGGCUAACUACGUG
RNAcentral lists this ribosomal RNA (492 nucleotides) under uncultured bacterium. Its description in RNAcentral is "partial 16S ribosomal RNA". It matches the Rfam family "Bacterial small subunit ribosomal RNA", at positions 29 to 507 of the family's 1533-position model. The record is from RNAcentral.